RNAcentral lists this long non-coding RNA (2141 nucleotides) under Homo sapiens (human). RNAcentral's name for it is "CHLSN antisense RNA 1, transcript variant 1 (CHLSN-AS1)". Lineage: Eukaryota; Metazoa; Chordata; Mammalia; Primates; Hominidae. The record is from RNAcentral.
AGAACACGCCAGGGUGGAGACAGGAGAUCUGUGUGCUUCCCGAGUACAGAUCACGGCUCAGCAUCUCAUGGGAAAGGGACAGGGCUCUCUUCAGGACACGCAGUAAGAUUUCAAGUGCGGGCACUUUUAAUACUCCGCGAUCCAAAGGCAGCUCCAGGGCCAGCCGCGGUUUCCGGCCUCAAGGGCAGGCUCGGUUCUGGAGCUCCCUCCAGUGGCCGUCGGGGUGCCGUCACUUUCAGGGCCCCACCAGGAGAGCAGGGGCCCCGCCGAGGACCAGAGCGCCUGGACCAGAGGGAGCCCUGCGCGGCCGGCACGGAUGCCUCUCAAUAGGCGGCAUGGGGCCGACACGACUCGCCCAUAUUUGGUUCUCAUGAAAACAGAAGCUCCGUGGAGAAAGCGAAGAAAGUCCUUGAAAGUCGCCUGUUCAAAGCCGCCACUGCCGUGAUGCCCCCUGACUCCGCACCCCGCCGCCGUGACGCCCCCCACGACCCCGCACCCUGCUGCAGUGACGCCCCCGACCCCUCACCCCGCUGCCGUCACACACCCCGACCCCGCUGCCGUCACUCCCCACGACCCCCCACCCCGCUGCCGUCACGCUCCGUGACCCCCGACCCCGACACCCUGCUGCCGUGAUGUUCCCCCAACCCUGCACCCCGCUGCCGUGACGCCCGCCCCGACCCCGCACCCCGCUGCUGUCACGCCCCCGACCCCGCACCCCGCCGCCGUCACGCCCGACCCCUCACCCCGCUACUGUGACGCCCCCCGACCCCUCACCCCGCUGCCGUCACACACCCCGACCCCGCUGCCGUCACUCCCAACCCCCCACCCCGCUGCCGUCACGCUCCGUGACCCCCGACCCCGACACCCUGCUGCCGUGAUGUUCCCCCAACCCUGCACCCCGCUGCCGUGACGCCCGCCCCGACCCCGCACCCCGCUGCCGUCACGCCCCCGACCCCGCACCCCGCCGCCGUCACGCCCGACCUCUCACCCCGCUACUGUGACGCCCCCCGACCCCGCACCCCGCCGCCGUCACUCCCCCGACCCCGCACCCCGCUGCCGUGACACCCCCCGGCCCCCAUCCCGCUGCCAUCACGCCUCCCGGCCCCCGCACCCUUGUCUGUGUCCCACAGCACAGGACCUGUCAGCGAGCGUCUGGCGCCUUCCUCCCUCCCCUGCAGAGACCCGCCAGGCCCCUCCAACAGGUGCUUUCUAAACUGCAAUUUCCUCAUCUACAAAAGGACAAUCACAACAACGGAACCCAGGGGACAGGACUGCAUCAACUACAACCAGACGGCGUAGACGGCAGCACACGGCCCUCGGCAAAUCAGAGGUGCUCAGUGACCACAGCCACCAUGACAGCAGGGCGGGGCGGGGGGCAAGGAAGCAGCGCUGGGAGACUUGGAGACACCCCAAAAAACGCCUUCCUCAGAAACACUGCUGUGCAAGAACCUGCAAAUCCCUAAGGCGUCUGUGUCCGAUGGCCCCGGCCCCAUGCUCUGAGGUCGCGCAGGUGUCCAAGGCCAGGAGGGGCACCGAGGAGACGAAGAAGAAACAGCACAGCAGCUGGGGAGGUAGGAACAGCAGAGUCUGAGUCACCAAAGCCCGGGGCUGCCACUCUCCAGGGCGCCCCACUCCCAGCUCCAGCGGCUGAGUCCACCAAGCCAGGACAGGCCCAAGGACCAGAGGGCGAGGUGAUUCACAGUGGAGCUCGGAAAGACCCAUCCAUGCCCAGCGCCUUGUCAAAAACCACAGGGGUCUUGGUGACAAGCAAUUGAGGGAGGCCAACAUGGCAGAGCCAGGGCUGCAAAAUCGGCUGGAAUAAGCAUCAGACCUGCUAGAAGGGUUUUCUGUGCCUGUUUUCGGUGAGCACAGAACAACUGAAGGAAGCGCGGGACAGACACAAGGGCGGGCCUCGGUGCCACGGCUGGCCUUGGGCAGAGGGAAAUGCUUUGUGUACUUUCUCUGGGAAGCAGCAGCCCCAGCGCGGCCUCGGCGUCCUCUGCCGCCAACUGCUCCGUGACCGCUGGGCGUGUGUGCGGGGACAUGGGAGCAACUUCACAGUGGUGGGAAGUUUCUCUCCUAAAACGAAAGCUUCUCUAUACUACAGAUUGGCCCCAUUAAAUAAAAGAAAAUACGGUGUA